This 498-nucleotide ribosomal RNA is filed under the name Fusarium sp. RNAcentral describes it as "eukaryotic LSU rRNA". The stretch from base 131 to 284 matches the Rfam family "5.8S ribosomal RNA". RNAcentral also lists the same sequence under 1 other name. The record is from RNAcentral. Lineage: Eukaryota; Fungi; Ascomycota; Sordariomycetes; Hypocreales; Nectriaceae.
AACCCCUGUGACAUACCUAUACGUUGCCUCGGCGGAUCAGCCCGCGCCCCGUAAAACGGGACGGCCCGCCCGAGGACCCCUAAACUCUGUUUUUAGUGGAACUUCUGAGUAAAACAAACAAAUAAAUCAAAACUUUCAACAACGGAUCUCUUGGUUCUGGCAUCGAUGAAGAACGCAGCAAAAUGCGAUAAGUAAUGUGAAUUGCAGAAUUCAGUGAAUCAUCGAAUCUUUGAACGCACAUUGCGCCCGCCAGUAUUCUGGCGGGCAUGCCUGUUCGAGCGUCAUUUCAACCCUCAAGCUCAGCUUGGUGUUGGGACUCGCGGUAACCCGCGUUCCCCAAAUCGAUUGGCGGUCACGUCGAGCUUCCAUAGCGUAGUAAUCAUACACCUCGUUACUGGUAAUCGUCGCGGCCACGCCGUUAAACCCCAACUUCUGAAUGUUGACCUCGGAUCAGGUAGGAAUACCCGCUGAACUUAAGCAUAUCAAUAAGCGGAGGAA